UUCAAGUAUAACCCAGACAAAAGAAAUUUUAACUGGAGUUGUGCUAAUUAAUAUAUUUUGUGGGAAUUGAUACUUAUGAUAAUAAAUCUUCCCAUCUAUAAAUAUGUCUUUCCCUGUGUUCAUAUCUUUUAUGCCCUUUAAGAAGUUCUUGUAGUUUCUUCCAUAAGUCCUAUGGUUUUCUUAUUAAAUUUAUCCUCACCUAUUUUAUAUUUGUGAAUGCAAGAUUUUUUAUUCCUUUUCACUUCUAGAUAACGAUUGCUACUUAAUAUAGAAGUUUCAUGUCUUUUUGUAAAAUAUUUUUAACAGUGAUUUGAUUUUCUUACAUUAUGCUUUUAUUUAUAUUGUCCCAUAACCUCGUGGAUGGUGUUGAAUAACCAUCAGGCAAGAAUCAGCAUCUCUUGUUUAGUUUCUGUUUUUCAUUGAAACAGGUUUGGGUGUUUUUAACAUCUAUAGUAUUUGCUCCUAGUGUUUGUUAAAUAUUUGCUCUCUUCACCUCUGGAUGCUGGAUACGGUUAGGAGUGCAGUUGUCUGUCUUCAUCUGCUAAUCGAGUGUGGGUCAGACUGCUGCAGUGUUUUAAGGAGUAACUGCAGGAGCAAUGGGAGGGAAAACAGCCUCUGCCUCUUUGAGCCUCAGUUAGCAUCCUGCUAGGGUAGUAGGAGGAAGCCCCUCUUUCCCACCUUGUCUCAGCCUCAGAGGUUGCGGGGACUCCGCCCACUGAUCAGUUUCCAUUCAGUUUCUUAGGCAUCAGGGGAAAUGGCUGCACCGUCUACACAGUGCAGCUGUCUGCCUUUCUGGGAGCCCAGUUGUGCUUGCUGGAUAGAUCCUGCAGGAUCCUGGUGUCCAGAUUCUCACUUGAAGGUUGCCCUGUGCCGAUCUCCCCAGGCCCAUACCCCAGCCAGAGGAGAAAAGUCGACCACAAUAGCCUUUUCCCUGGCGGUGAAUAUUUUUAUGGGCGGGGAGGAGGAGUGGAGAACAAAAAAAAAAAAAAAA
Molecule: non-coding RNA, 991 nt
Organism: Microcebus murinus (gray mouse lemur)
Lineage: Eukaryota; Metazoa; Chordata; Mammalia; Primates; Cheirogaleidae
Source: RefSeq, a predicted model, not a curated record